This 481-nucleotide ribosomal RNA is filed under the name uncultured bacterium. Its description in RNAcentral is "partial 16S ribosomal RNA". It matches the Rfam family "Bacterial small subunit ribosomal RNA", at positions 355 to 828 of the family's 1533-position model. The record is from RNAcentral.
UGGGGAAUAUUGCACAAUGGGCGCAAGCCUGAUGCAGCCAUGCCGCGUGUGUGAAGAAGCCUUCGGGUUGUAAAGCACUUUCAGCGAGGAGGAAGGUGGUGAACUUAAUACGUUCAUCAAUUGACGUUACUCGCAGAAGAAGCACCGGCUAACUCCGUGCCAGCAGCCGCGGUAAUACGGAGGGUGCAAGCGUUAAUCGGAAUUACUGGGCGUAAAGCGCACGCAGGCGGUUUGUUAAGUCAGAUGUGAAAUCCCCCGGGCUCAACCUGGGAACUGCAUUUGAAACUGGCAAGCUAGAGUCUCGUAGAGGGGGGUAGAAUUCCAGGUGUAGCGGUGAAAUGCGUAGAGAUCUGGAGGAAUACCGGUGGCGAAGGCGGCCCCCCUGGACGAAGACUGACGCUCAGGUGCGAAAGCGUGGGGAGCAAACAGAUUAGAUACCCUGGUAGUCCACGCUGUAAACGAUGUCGAUUUGGAGGUUGUG